GGCAAGGUUGGCGCUGGCUCAAACCAAACAGCCCCUCAAUCCCACCGAGAAUUCCUUUUUCACCACUCAGUUCUUAUCUUCUCCACAUAUCCACCCAACUCUCUGCCUCCAUCUUCCUUUUCCUGCGACAUUUGCCCACCACCCAGCGCCACGUCUCCACCGGCAGCCGACGUGCACCACCAGACUUCCUCCCGCACCUCCGCCACAGUCCCAGCCAGGCCUCGUGCGCACAGGCCGGCCGCCAGCCAGGAGCCCAUACAGAGCCAGCCGCGCUGCAAUAACGCCGCCGCCCGUACGCCGCCUCCCGCACCAACCACGCCCGAGCAAGGAGCUCCCCUCGACCCCGACCCCUGCAGCUCCUCCUCGGCUCCCCGUCCGGCAACUGGCGCCGUCACCGGCUAGCCCCGCAACUCGAGCCGGAGCAUCACACCCGCGCCAUGAAUCUCCGACCCCGAUGCCCAAGCUCCCGCCGCUGUUCUGUGGACCGAGUUAUUCGCUGAAGGGAAACCAUCUGAAAAAAGACAACAAGAGAGAGACGCCAAUGAACAAGUUGAUUCUAUCAUGCCAUUGGGAGAAGCGCCCAAGGAAAAGGUAGUGUGCAUGCUAGUCUUCUCAUGGUGUACCGGUUCGUGGGAGAGCCAAGAGUUCGUGCUGGGGCAUUGCUUACCUUGGACUACCUACGAUGUGAAUACAGUGCAACGUGAUAUUGAUACCGAAGAAGAGCGAACAUGGUGGUCCGCCGAGUAUUGGCGCGUGUCACUCUAUGUGCACUGCCACAUUGGUCUACUCAUGAUUAUGCAGGUCUCGGAGGGAAAGUAUGACACAGCUCCCGAGAAACCCGCCCGUGCGUUGCAACGGGCAUAUUCGAGUGAUUCAACAUCAUGGUUUGUAACAUAUAGCCUUGUCGACUUAUGGCCUUGUCGACUUUCUUGUACCGUUAUAGCAUUAAUUUCCGUGUCCUCCUCC
Aegilops tauschii subsp. strangulata is the source of this 966-nucleotide long non-coding RNA. RefSeq lists it as uncharacterized. The record is from RefSeq and is a predicted model, not a curated record. Lineage: Eukaryota; Viridiplantae; Streptophyta; Magnoliopsida; Poales; Poaceae.